This 86-nucleotide ribosomal RNA is filed under the name Ectopseudomonas oleovorans. Lineage: Bacteria; Pseudomonadati; Pseudomonadota; Gammaproteobacteria; Pseudomonadales; Pseudomonadaceae. The record is from RNAcentral.
GAUCCCUUCCCGAACUCAGAAGUGAAACGAUGCAUCGCCGAUGGUAGUGUGGGGCUUCCCCAUGUGAGAGUAGGUCAUCGUCAAGC